Drosophila busckii is the source of this 1713-nucleotide long non-coding RNA. RefSeq lists it as uncharacterized. The record is from RefSeq and is a predicted model, not a curated record. Lineage: Eukaryota; Metazoa; Arthropoda; Insecta; Diptera; Drosophilidae. The transcript is spliced from 12 exons.
AGAUUUGCUGUAAUUUUUCGAGUUUCUUUUUUUAACAUUAACAAAUUUUAACUGUCUGACAAUGAUAUCUACACUUAAUAUAGCUCUUAGGCGUGAUGCUCUGAUGGCUUUGAAGCCUCAAUUAUGGAAGCCAGUACAAAGAUAUGGCAUCAAGAAAAUUAUAGACCAGGGCGUAGCCGAAGAUAAUAUUUACUUGCUUAAACAAAACUAUCAUCUAAUGAAGAAUGCAAAAAGGUUGAAGACACUAAAGCAACGUAAAAUCACAAAGGAACUCGAAAAAUUACAGGAAAAUAUUGUUGAGGUUAGAGCACUUUUGCAUACAUAUGAACGUUACGGCAGUAAAAAGAAAACUGAAAGUAACGAUGACCCGUGGAAUGUUUAAAUUAAUGCAAUUGGGCCUAUGUCAGCAGCUAAAAUACUCCAGUUUUACUCCGCAAAGGAUUGGCAUACUGCAGCAGCAAAAUAAUUUCUUACAAAUUUAUUUGGAGAAGAUACUUAAGAAAGUAAGAAAGGAUAUGAGAGCACGCCAAGUUGAAAAGCGUGAAAGGGAACAACGAAAAAAUAAGAAGCGCAAAGAAAAAGAAAAAUAAAAGAGACUAUAAUGCCAAGUUAUAAAUUUAAUUACCAUGAUUCGCCAUUCCUUUGGCUUCAAAUUGCUAAAACUACAAAAAUGUUGGCUCAAGACAUGCAUUAAAGAAUGUAGCUCGGAGUUGCUGAAGCGGGGCAAGUCUCGAGAGAACACUUACUUUCUCAAAAUACAAUAUGAACAACUGCAAGGACUAAUGAAAUCGAAGCUUCGGGAGCGUAAGAAGCUUGAGAAACACAUAGAUAAGCUCAAAAAAGAAAUGAAGGAUGCGGAAACUAAAUAUAAAAAGGCUGCUGCAGACAAAGGACAGAGCUGAUGAUGAUGAUUAAAUUGAUAAGUGAUAUUUAGCUAAGCUGAGCAGGCUCUUAAAAUAGAAUCGUAACAAAUAGUAAAAAUAUAUAGCAUAGACUUUCAGUUUGCUGUAACCUCAGAUCAAAAGGUUAUAAACCAAAUCGAAAUUAAAAGUGUAUAUUUAAAAUUUUGACGUGCGUUUCUCUUCUAUAAUGCAUCAUGUAUACAAACUACUGCGCGCAACCAGGGGUGGCAUGCUGCAGGGCUUUAGGCCCUAUACUGACAAGCUACACGAGCGAGCAAGAGCCGUGGAGAAUGUGCACUUUUUAAAAAUUCAAUAUCAACAAUUGCUGAAUCUACGCAACAGACUUGGCAAGCAAAAAAAAGCACAAGAGUUUUCGCAGCAAGCCAAAGCAGCAGCAGCUCAAGUCAAGAAGCAUGAAACAUGAAAUCAAAGUAGUUUGGCUGUUUACAAGCUGUAAAGCAUUUUAAAAUUUAACAAAAAAAAUAAUAAAAAAUAUAAAAAAAUAUGUGGAACGUGCUGCGCUGCAGGAAGAUGAUGGAACGAGCAAAACAAUUGCGCAAAAUAUAUUCAAAAUCGCAUGAAGAGAAAACGCGUCUAAUGCUGGAAAAGAAUAUGGCAAUACGCGAAAAACAGAUUUCAGAAUUGAUGCGCAAGCGUGAAACUCUUGCACGCAUUAAUGAAUUUAUUUCUAAGCAAGGGGAAUACGUAGAUUUGCGCUUGCGCAGCAAUAAGAAGCUGUUGGCGCAGGCCAUUGACCACUGGAACACCAGCAGCCAGGAGACAACAAAAUAAAAGCGCGUUCCACAUAGCA